Peromyscus eremicus (cactus mouse) is the source of this 335-nucleotide long non-coding RNA. RefSeq lists it as uncharacterized. NCBI's taxonomy places the organism in Eukaryota, Metazoa, Chordata, Mammalia, Rodentia, Cricetidae. The record is from RefSeq and is a predicted model, not a curated record. The transcript has 3 exons.
UUAGUGUUACUGAGUGGCAGAGCUGGUCCUGGAAUCCAUUUACUCAUUCACUCUGCUAGUGCCUUUAUGGGACAGACACCAAGAGCACAAUUAUUCCCAAACUGAAGUGAGGAAGAGAAUGGAUACCAUGGUGCUGUUCAGAGGAAGUGAGACCCUUGGGAGUUCCCAUUACUGACUUGUGUGUUUUAGCGAGCCUUUCCUUGCCCACGCCACAUCAAUUAAAUCUAAGCUGAGAAAGGUGAAGGAGUCCCGUGGGAAGACAGUGUGUGUGAGAGCUGGCUCUGAAGUUCUUGAGUUGGGACAAGAAAGAAAUGUACAGCAGAUCUAAGGUAAAU